UUAUCAUAACUGCUUUCAAAAACUAGUCCCUGAAAUUGCUCAUUAAAUUUCCCAAAUUCUUUUUAGAGCAAGGUAGGAAAUGAUACAGAUUGAGAAGGGUGGAUCUUGUACUCCUAGACAUACACAUAUAGACAUGGUGACACCUAUGCCCAGGUACAGGAGUAUAGACAGAUUCAAAAUAGAUUAGCUGGACUCCUUUGGGAAGGAACUCUCACAGUGACUGCCCUGCCACUAGCAUUCAACCAAUGUUCCCAGACUUGAUAUUAAGAAGAGGUGAAGAGAGAAUUGAGCCUGCAGAGUGAGACCAUAGGGAAGAGUGGAAUGGUCAAAAAGAAAGUCUAGAUGGAUGGGAAAGGAAGGGGAAGGGGCCAACAGAGCAAAGGCGGUGUUCAGGUGACACCUCUAUCUUUCUUUCAUUGUAGGCGGAGAGAAGUCUUUGGCCUAUCAUGAAUGGAAAAUGGCCCUCUUCAAGCCUGGUGAGUAAAUCACUGUAUGUUCCCCGGAUCAACAACCUGAGGGACUAUAUUCCUUUUUCCUCCUCCAACUCUUGUGAUUUG
RNAcentral lists this small RNA (557 nucleotides) under Pongo abelii (Sumatran orangutan). Its description in RNAcentral is "retained intron". Lineage: Eukaryota; Metazoa; Chordata; Mammalia; Primates; Hominidae. The record is from RNAcentral.